GACAUUUGAAGGGGGCUGCUCCUAGUACGAGAGGACCGGAGUGGACGAACCUCUGGUGUACCGGUUGUGACGCCAGUCGCAUCGCCGGGUAGCUAUGUUCGGAAGAGAUAACCGCUGAAAGCAUCUAAGCGGGAAACUCGCCUUAAGAUGAGAUAUCCCUGGAGGCUUGACCUCCUUGAAGGGUCGUUCGAGACCAGGACGUUGAUAGGUCGGGUGUGUAAGCGCAGUAAUGCGUUCAGCUAACCGAUACUAAUUGCCCGUAAGGCUUGAUCCUAUAACA
RNAcentral lists this ribosomal RNA (280 nucleotides) under Burkholderia multivorans. Its description in RNAcentral is "partial 23S ribosomal RNA". It matches the Rfam family "Bacterial large subunit ribosomal RNA", at positions 2657 to 2925 of the family's 2925-position model. The record is from RNAcentral. Lineage: Bacteria; Pseudomonadati; Pseudomonadota; Betaproteobacteria; Burkholderiales; Burkholderiaceae.